Molecule: ribosomal RNA, 301 nt
Filed under: uncultured bacterium
Lineage: Bacteria
Description: partial 16S ribosomal RNA
Rfam family: Bacterial small subunit ribosomal RNA
Source: RNAcentral
CAGUAGCCGCGGGAAUACCGAGGGUGCGAGCGUUAAUCGGAUUUACUGGGCGUAAAGCGUGCGUAGGCGGCUUUUUAAGUCGGAUGUGAAAUCCCUGAGCUUAACUUAGGAAUUGCAUUCGAUACUGGGAAGCUAGAGUAUGGGAGAGGAUGGUAGAAUUCCAGGUGUAGCGGUGAAAUGCGUAGAGAUCUGGAGGAAUACCGAUGGCGAAGGCAGCCAUCUGGCCUAAUACUGACGCUGAGGUACGAAAGCAUGGGGAGCAAACAGGAUUAGAUACCCCAGUAGUCCCUGUCUCUUAUAC